UACGUAGGGGGCAAGCGUUAUCCGGAUUUACUGGGUGUAAAGGGAGCGCAGACGGCAGUGCAAGUCUGGAGUGAAAGCCCGGGGCCCAACCCCGGAACUGCUCUGGAAACUGUGCGGCUAGAGUACUGGAGGGGCAGGCGGAAUUCCUAGUGUAGCGGUGAAAUGCGUAGAUAUUAGGAGGAACACCAGUGGCGAAGGCGGCCUGCUGGACAGUAACUGACGCUGAGGUUCGAAAGCGUGGGUAGCAAACAGG
RNAcentral lists this ribosomal RNA (253 nucleotides) under uncultured bacterium. RNAcentral describes it as "partial 16S ribosomal RNA". It matches the Rfam family "Bacterial small subunit ribosomal RNA", at positions 524 to 776 of the family's 1533-position model. The record is from RNAcentral.